Molecule: ribosomal RNA, 301 nt
Filed under: uncultured bacterium
Lineage: Bacteria
Description: partial 16S ribosomal RNA
Rfam family: Bacterial small subunit ribosomal RNA
Source: RNAcentral
CAGCAGCCGCGGGAAUACGUAGGGUGCGAGCGUUAAUCGGAGUUACUGGGCGUAAAGCGUGCGCAGGCGGUUAUGUAAGACAGUUGUGAAAUCCCCGGGCUCAACCUGGGAACUGCAUCUGUGACUGCAUAGCUAGAGUACGGUAGAGGGGGAUGGAAUUCCGCGUGUAGCAGUGAAAUGCGUAGAUAUGCGGAGGAACACCGAUGGCGAAGGCAAUCCCCUGGACCUGUACUGACGCUCAUGCACGAAAGCGUGGGGAGCAAACAGGAUUAGAUACCCCAGUAGUCCCUGUCUCUUAUAC